CAUAAGCUACGUUGUUCGUAACGAUAAUAAAGUUUUAACCUUUAUACUUGGUUAGGGAGUUUAACAUCGGUGCCCCUCCGACAAGCCUUCGUCUAUAUGACAGGGAGGACAUACGGAUUAGGUAUCUGAGAACACCCACUUUGAGGAGUGGUGGUUUAAAACUUUCUUAAUAAAGUUACGGCAAAGGUGGCUUGUAC
RNAcentral lists this non-coding RNA (197 nucleotides) under Bacillus sp. DNRA2. Its description in RNAcentral is "6S / SsrS RNA". It matches the Rfam family "6S / SsrS RNA". Rfam says of the family: E. coli 6S RNA was the first non coding RNA to be sequenced, but its function was unknown until recently. It consists of 184 nucleotides that fold into an extended hairpin structure with a large single-stranded internal bulge. Lineage: Bacteria; Bacillati; Bacillota; Bacilli; Caryophanales; Bacillaceae. The record is from Rfam by way of RNAcentral.